CGUAGGUGGCAAGCGUUGUCCGGAAUUAUUGGGCGUAAAGCGCGCGCAGGCGGUCCUUUAAGUCUGAUGUGAAAGCCCACGGCUCAACCGUGGAGGGUCAUUGGAAACUGGGGGACUUGAGUACAGAAGAGAAGAGUGGAAUUCCACGUGUAGCGGUGAAAUGCGUAGAGAUGUGGAGGAACACCAGUGGCGAAGGCGACUCUUUGGUCUGUAACUGACGCUGAGGCGCGAAAGCGUGGGGAGCAAACAGGAUUAGAUACCCUGGUAAUCCACGCUGUAAACGAUGAGUGCAAAGUGUUAGAGGGUUUCCGCCCUUUAGUGCUGCAGCUAACGCAUUAAGCACUCCGCCUGGGGAGUACGGCCGCAAGGCUG
This 372-nucleotide ribosomal RNA is filed under the name uncultured organism. Its description in RNAcentral is "bacterial SSU rRNA". It matches the Rfam family "Bacterial small subunit ribosomal RNA", at positions 526 to 896 of the family's 1533-position model. The record is from RNAcentral.